CCUACGGGAGGCAGCAGUGGGGAAUUUUGCACAAUGGGGGAAACCCUGAUCCAGCCACGCCGCGUGGAUGGUGAAGGCCCUUGGGAUGUAAACUCCUUUCGAUCGGGACGAUUAUGACGGUACCGGAUGAAUAAGCCCCGGCUAACUCUGUGCCAGCAGCCGCGGUAAU
RNAcentral lists this ribosomal RNA (169 nucleotides) under uncultured bacterium. RNAcentral's name for it is "partial 16S ribosomal RNA". It matches the Rfam family "Bacterial small subunit ribosomal RNA", at positions 338 to 524 of the family's 1533-position model. The record is from RNAcentral.